RNAcentral lists this non-coding RNA (27 nucleotides) under Rattus norvegicus (Norway rat). Lineage: Eukaryota; Metazoa; Chordata; Mammalia; Rodentia; Muridae. The record is from RNAcentral.
UUCAGUUCAUGUCUUAGUGGUCCCAGU